Long non-coding RNA from Vespula pensylvanica (western yellowjacket), 1548 nucleotides. RefSeq lists it as uncharacterized. The transcript has 3 exons. The record is from RefSeq and is a predicted model, not a curated record. NCBI's taxonomy places the organism in Eukaryota, Metazoa, Arthropoda, Insecta, Hymenoptera, Vespidae.
AAACGUUCUCCACGAAAGGAGGACAAAUAGAGGAUGGAGGACGUCGUCGAAUUCUAUGAUUUUCCUUUUAUUUUCUGCCGUCUCUUUCGACCAUCGAAGUACUUCCCAUGACGAUAAUCCUACGGUAUUUCUCUCUCUCUCUCUCUCUCUCUCUCUCGUCGUUCCCAUUUCGAUUCGGACAAAUCCAUCGAAGGUUCGAAGAAAAAGGGGGCUCGAUCUUUAGUCGCGUAGUAACGACCAUAUUUCUCAAUAAACGAUAAAUCAGAGCACUAAGGUAUACCUUCCGUCUCUCUCGGUCUCUCACAGAUCCCAUCCCGUCUUUCCUUUUCUUCCAUUUACUUUAGCAGAACUAUCUCCUCGUCUCUCUCUCUCUCUCUCUCUCUUUCUACUCUUCCGCCGCCUUCCGAGUCUCCUAGCCCCAUUAAUCUAUGGUUAUCUACGGCGUGUGCCGGAUAAGUGCGUCGGAAUGAGCCAUUUCACCCUUGGGACUUCGAAUCCAUCCUCCACCCUCGAAAAGUGGAAGGCCGUCCGACUGGAGACUGGCCCUUGGGCAUCCUUCUACCCUUCUGAUGAGCUGUGCAAAACUUCAUCCUUAACGAGCUCGUAACGACGGCUCGUAGCGCGUAGCCUACCGAGAAAUGAAAAUGGAAGCAACUACAGUCGUUUUAUUCGCGUAGACGAUUCUACGUACUCGUCGACGAGGUUCCUCUUUAUAUAUUUCGUACUUAAGGAUAACGUUGACUCUAAAGAAUUAUUUUAACGUAGAAAUAAGAAACGAAAGGGACUGCUAGUCGGAGUCAAAUACUAGGCCCAGAGUAUGUCUGAACCUCCCUCGUAAGGUGAAUAACGCUCGCAGGUUAUCUUUUCACCUUCGACGCUCGUAAGUAAAGUGGAAAAGCCACCCCUGUCGGGUACAACCUAACGAACUAAAGAACAAUGUUACUUUAUAUGCGAGCCAGCGACCCUCGGUUUUUCACCCUCCACCUUCUUUCAUCCUCCCGCUUCUCCUCCUCUUCCUCCUUCCUCCGACGGUAGCUACGACACGACUACGACGACUACGACGACUACGACGACGACAACCGGGAUGAGGAGAAAGAGGAGAGGAAGGGGGAAGGGCAGACUCCUUCCUGCCCUUAUCGCUGGAAAAGUUAAGUGGAAGAAAAUGCGUCGCGAGCGCGGCCGACCCAUCGGAGAAAGUUGAAAUUGAUGCAGUGGACGAGCCCUUGACUCGCACGAGCUUACGUUGAAAGCCACUCUACUUUGCUACGAUACUUUCAGAAAAAGUUCUACGAACGACGUUACCAAGUCGUUUAUCGAGGCACGCGACGAAAACGUGCGUCGAUAGCGGCUAUGCAUCUUCUUUUUUGUGUCCUUUUCUUUUCUUUUCUUUUCUUUUCUUUUUUCUCCUUUUUUUCGCCCUUACCUACUUCCCCAUUAACAAACUAUAAAUCAUACUUAAGCGUCUAAGCGUCGAGCUAUUAGCGUCUGAACGGAUACCCGUUCAUCGGUUUCAUUAGGGACGUUCGUUCGAGAAAAAUUCGUUCGCGA